This 253-nucleotide ribosomal RNA is filed under the name uncultured bacterium. RNAcentral's name for it is "partial 16S ribosomal RNA". It matches the Rfam family "Bacterial small subunit ribosomal RNA", at positions 524 to 776 of the family's 1533-position model. The record is from RNAcentral.
UACGGAGGGUGCAAACGUUGCUCGGAAUCAUUGGGCGUAAAGCGCACGUAGGCGGACCGCUAAGUCGGAUGUGAAAGCCCUCGGCUUAACCGAGGAAGUGCAUUCGAAACUGACAGUCUUGAGUAUGGAAGAGGGUCGCGGAAUUCCCGGUGUAGAGGUGAAAUUCGUAGAUAUCGGGAGGAACACCAGUGGCGAAGGCGGCGACCUGGGCCAAUACUGACGCUGAGGUGCGAAAGCGUGGGGAGCAAACGGG